This 520-nucleotide ribosomal RNA is filed under the name uncultured Acaulospora. RNAcentral's name for it is "SSU rRNA". It matches the Rfam family "Eukaryotic small subunit ribosomal RNA", at positions 569 to 1088 of the family's 1831-position model. The record is from RNAcentral. Lineage: Eukaryota; Fungi; Glomeromycota; Glomeromycetes; Diversisporales; Acaulosporaceae.
AGCAGCCGCGGUAAUUCCAGCUCCAAUAGCGUAUAUUAAAGUUGUUGCAGUUAAAAAGCUCGUAGUUGAAUUUCGGGGUUCAUACGUUGGUCGGGCUAUUUGGUCUGUACUUAUGUAAUGGAUUCCUACCUUCUGAAUAACCGGCAUGCCAUUAAUUUGGUGCGCCGGGGAAGCAGGACUGUUACCUUGAAAAAAUUAGAGUGCUUAAAGCAGGCUAUCGCCUGAAUACAUUAGCAUGGAAUAAUGAAAUAGGACGGCAUGGUUCUAUUUUGUUGGUUUCUAGGAUCACCGUAAUGAUUAAUAGGGAUAGUUGGGGGCAUUAGUAUUCAAUUGUCAGAGGUGAAAUUCUUGGAUUUAUUGAAGUACUAACUUCUGCGAAAGCAUUUGCCAAGGAUGUUUUCAUUAAUCAAGAACGAAAGUUAGGGGAUCGAAGACGAUCAGAUACCGUCGUAGUCUUAACCAUAACUAUAGCGACUAGGGAUCGGACGUAUGUUAAUUUUUAUAGUACUGUUCGGCGCCG